This is a long non-coding RNA of Phasianus colchicus (ring-necked pheasant), 4804 nucleotides long. RefSeq lists it as uncharacterized. The record is from RefSeq and is a predicted model, not a curated record. Lineage: Eukaryota; Metazoa; Chordata; Aves; Galliformes; Phasianidae.
AGGGCCAGAGCCAGGAUCCACCCCUUCCAGCCCUCAUUUAAUGGCUGGCAGAGGAGAUGUGGGCAUCCCUCUUUGGAGGUUCCUGCAUACCUGAGGUCUUUUGAAGGGAGCUGUGAUUACAGCAGAUGGAUGUGCAGGGCUGUGUGCUUUCCUCAGAUGCACUGAGGACCUUCAGCCAGGGAAGCACUGUGGUCAGCCAGAAGUUCUUGGGCAGACGGUGGGAGUUAAGUGCAUGAAAUCCAACACUCCAUGUCAUAUACCAGAGGUCAGGCCCAGGGUCCCUUCAGCUCCGAAGCACAAAUGCAGCAAAUCUUUCCCCCCAAGAAAGCCCUCCAAAGCCCAUUUCUGGAAAACACAGCAGAGGCAGAAUGUGUCUAUUGGGCUGACUUUGUUCUCCCAUCUCAAAGCACUGGGAGCUCGCAGCUGCUGUCAGUGCCUAUGGACACCAAGGGUUGGCUCAGCUGCAGGGCCCAGCAGUGGCAGCCUGGGGUGCUGGUCCUUGUCUGACCCCGCUGUGUUUCACAUGCUGUUCUUCUCCUCUGAGCUGAGCCAGCUCAUCCUGCUCAAAACUCCGACUGAAAACAUCAUCUAAAAACAGCUCCUCGUGCUGGUGCCCAGAGGGGAGGAGCAGAACCCAGCAGGCACAGAUGGAGCUUCAAUAAAUAGUGGAGCUGACGGGACGGGGCGGGGAAGGAUCUCACACCGCCAGCAGCAGCUCUGUUGGGAUGCAGGAUGUGCAGCUCCCAUGCACCCUGCACAGGGCUGUGGACAACUCACAGCUCCUCUGCAUCCAGGACUUGGAGCUGGCAAUGAAUGCUAGAAGAGUAUCAUGGUUUUCUUAUUACCAAUUUAAGUCAGCUUUCCUGUGGUUGAAAACCAUUCGUUGUUUUUUUCUUCUUUGGAGCUUUAUAUAUCAGCUAGAUACGGAAUUAAAAAAACACAAACAACACAGGACAUUUAAAUUGCCAUAUUUACACUUCUCUUUGGAGGAGCUCAACUGUUCUCUGCUCAGAUGCAAAUAAGGAACAUAUUUCUACUCUAGGUAUUUUUGGUCAGAAUGAAGAGAUAAAUAGUGCACUCCAAACGUCACGCUUCCAACCCGCUCCAGCUAACUUUGGUCAAGAAAACUUUGCACAGAACACCAGCACGUUUUGAGCAUGAACUGUAAUUCUUUUCUCCUGGCAGGAAUUUAUUGCUAAUUGAGCCGAUCUGCAGCAUGGGAACCAACAAAUGAGGGCCAAAACCAAGGCUGCCAGACUUAAAUCACUUACUGGUUAUGAAAUGGGACAGAACAGCCCCAGAGUCACACAGAAACAUGAGCAUGGUGGUGACACGGCCUUUCAUGCACAGCGUCAGCACUAAAAACAGCAUAUAGAUGGUUUGGGAAGUUAUAAACACCGACAUCAUGAUUCUAUUCUGGGUUGGUCCUAUGACAAAAGGGGAAAAAAUAACCAAAUGAAAACAGCAACAACCAAAAUCCAAUGGAAGAUAAGAGCCCAAAGCAAUGGGCAGCACUGCUCGGGGCCCACUGUGCUGGCUGUGGGAUGGGAGCUGGCAGCACUGACUGACACCAGCACAGCUGCAGCCCCACAGCUCCAGCAGCACAGUGCUUCAGAGCUCCCCUUCUUCUUCCUCUUCUUAAUUAUCAUGAUUUUUUAAGCUAAACAGCCAUUGUCAGGUUACUCAGGCCUUGUCCCCAUCUAGCAUCCCAUGAUAUCCGAAGUUUGGAUGGAUAUUCAGAAUGGCUCUUCUUCAUCUUCAGCGUGUCAGACUUUCUCAGUUGAUCUCAAGUCUACCUCCAGACAUCUCCCAAGUACGGUGUGGGGCUGAUCUGCCCCAGAUAGCCCUGCAGGAUGGGAGCCGUGGGGCAGGAGUGCAGCCUCCAUCCGCUAAUCCAUUGAUUAUUAAGCAGCAUUGAUCUGCAAAUGUCUCAAAGGACUGAAAGGCCUUGGAGAGAUGAGUGGCAAAUUGUUUAGAAGCCAAAAAAUUUCCAUGAGAUAAUUUUCAGUGGAAAGUGAUGGAGAAAAGCCCACUGUAUCUUAAGUGCAAUAUAAAUUCUUAUCAGAGAGCGUUUUGAUGUAGUUUUAACCUCUGAAUUAAGAGCCACAAUUCAAAAGACAUCUGCUAACUGAUGAUUCUGCAAAACCAGAAGUGCAUCGCAUGCAUUCAAAUGAGCUCAAAAAAAGCACAGGCACAUCUGGUUUCAUGAAUCAGAUCAGAACAAAAACUGUUCUCUGUUGCUGUUGGUUUUGCCAGCAGUGGAGAUGAAGGUGAGUGAAAGGCAGAGCAGAUCAGAUCUCUGAGGGUCAGGGCAUGCAGACAUUCCCUGUGUGGAGUUGGCUCACCCCCAGCAUCACCUGUCUGCAUCAGAACAGGGAACUACUCCUGUCUUUUCCACACAAGAAGAAAAUAUCAGCUUCAGCCCUGAGUCCCGAGAUGCUCCUUUGGCCCUGGGUAUGUUGAGCACAUGGGUCACACAAAAGCUGGAGCUGAGGGAGCCCUAGCUGUGUAAGUAAGGGGGAUUUCUGCCAAGAAAGCAGGAGAGGUUUUUCUGUAGCUGGCCCCUGGAGAAUGCUCUCUUUGACAGAAAAAAAGUAAAUGUAAAAAAAUCCAUCCCUUGCAAGCUUGUGAAAGCAUGGCUGUGGGCCAUGGGCGUUCUAAUGGGCUUUCUAACUCCCUGGCAUAUGUCCCCCACCUUAAUGCAAACAGGAGAAGCCUAUUGCAAGAAGUCCUCGUCCUCUCUCCUUUUUUUUAAACUUAUUUUUUUGCUGUUCUUCUAAAGCAACAUCAUCACAUUGCUCAAGCAGCAGCCGUGCAAACUGCAGCGCUGAUCCCUGAAAUGCUGCAGUUCUGACUUCCCCAGCAGUUCUGCACAGUUUGCCCCCCUUUCCAUGGCAGCAGAGAUGCUGCCCAGCCCUGCAGCGCACCGCUGUGCUGUGAGCACAGUGACAAACCUCCUGUUGUGAGCUGCACAGGAGACAUCUUCCCGCUCAGAAAAUCACAUUUCCCUCUCACAGGGCCAUUCCACCAUCUGACCAAACACCUCACUAAAUUCCAGACACCAAGACUGAACUCCGGACCGGCCCUUGGCAGGAGAAUUAUCCACAACCCUGUCUACCAUGGUCCCGUUUUCUCUUACAGAAUUUGUCAAGAAUUCCUGCCAGCUUGAGAGCAGCCGCUUGGGUUCCAGUAUCACUGCUGUCUGCAGCCCUUCCACAGCCAGGCUGGCUCUGCUCCAGCACCUGGAAUGGGCUUCCGGAGCCAUCUCCUCUCUUAUCACUCAUUGCACCGAUAGUCAGCCUGAAACAAGCUCGACCUUCUGAUUGAUUUGAACUUUGGCCAACAGGAAAACACUUGUUGUAGCAGCACAGUCAGGCACCCAGCUGUCUGCUUUGUGUAACGGGGCAGCGGGGUUAAAUUAAGGCCCGUUCCCCACCAUGAGCACAGGGGAAGAAUGGAAACUCACCAGAUGUUGGCAUCAGGCUGAGCAAGAUGCGAGUGCAGGUGGGGCUGUCAGCUCCUGCCACGUGCUUACACUGGAGAAUGCAUUUCAGAGAAAAAGAAACUUCCCAAAUCAUUGAGAAAAAGCCCUUGUUUGUCACCUUCCUGCUCUCUCUGCUGUCCCCACAUGCCCUUCUAAAGCCAUCCCUGUGCUGAGGACACGUCCUGAGAAGGGUCACUGCUGAUCCUGCACACUUCGUCACCAACAAUGACCAACAAACCCUUGGAACUAAUAUUUCCAUGGCAUUGAAAAUAGAAUUGGAAAGGAAAAGAUUUAGUUGAGCAUGUUUGUUUGUUUCAUCAAGCUGCCACAGGCCAGAGUCUGUAACUUCAUGCCAUAUUUCAAACUUGGAAACGAGAAAGGACACCAAAACAACUGAAAAUGGAUAACAAACAGUAAGUGGAAAGCAAUGCAAAAACCAGACACACAGGAACAACCACACUGGAGUGGAUCCAGAUCUCCCCCACGUUAUAAAGCUAUUUUAUAUUAAUGUGAAGGGGAAUUUAUGAGUUUGAGUUUGUUCUCUACCAUCUCCACAGGAUUCAAUCUAGAUAGACCUAAGUACUGAGAAACAGUUUUUCAUCAGUGGUUCCCACCUUGUGAAGCCACACAGCCACUGCUCUCCUGCUGGCCCCAUGCUGCUGCUGUGCAGAGCAGUGGCUGUCACAGCAGAUCUCGCCCUGCUCGGAUGUGGCCACAGGUCGGUGAGGACGUGCACUCCCUCCUGGGGGUCUGCAGAUCCAUUCCUAGGCACCGCCAGCCCCGAGGGGCUCCGGGAGGAAAGCAGCCCGGUACCGCUCUGCUGCUCCCUGCGGGCUGAUUGCAGAACUGCUGUCGCCCUGCAGGACCACUGUAAUGGUUGAGCGGGUGCCAGAAGCCUUGCUCAUCCUGGGUAACUCUCGCUGUCGCUUUAGAAGGGAUCCACAGAGCCGCAGCGGUCUGCAGCAUCCAUACGACACCUCUUCUUUCUUACCAACACCAAUAAAGAAAUGGUGCUGCAUGCCCAACACGUGUGGUGCCUUCGAGGCAGUGCAGCCACUACUUCAAUCUGGUGGCUGGAAUGCAGCAGCAAUGCCUUCAGCAGAGAUGUGCCUCUGCCUUCAGGGCUGUGCUGCAGCACGCAGCUCUGCACGAGGAGCCCUGAAGCACUGUCAGGAGGAGCACAGUGUUCAGCACUGACUCUUUGGGUGCAGAGGAAGGAAGGUUGGAGAGCAAGAAUUCUGCUCUUCAGGGCUCAUCAAACAGCCACACAUGGAAAUCCCACCUGCUGGGCCCCAAACACCUGGCAGCAGGGAGAGAAAA